RNAcentral lists this unclassified non-coding RNA (467 nucleotides) under Hevea brasiliensis (rubber tree). The record is from RNAcentral. Lineage: Eukaryota; Viridiplantae; Streptophyta; Magnoliopsida; Malpighiales; Euphorbiaceae.
UCGGUUCCUCUGCAAAGGAUUUUGUGAUGGUGCUAGCCUAUGCUCGCAAGGUCCCAGACCCAGAAUAAUGCUUGUUUUCCAUAUUUCUACCCUUCAUAUCCUCACUAAUGAUGUGCUUUGAGCCUCAUUGAUGAUGAAACGGUGGAUUUACCUGGAUAGUAUAUUAUAAACAAGCAUUCCAUAGUUCCUCUACAGCAUUUGCAGCAAGCACAUUGCAGACUAUACUCUGCUGCAGGAUUGCAGCAGAUAGAAAGGGGAGGGAUGCUUGCAAUCAUCUUUGGAUGAACCGUGCAAGUGCUUGGAGACAAUAUUAUGCGAAAUACUUGAGUUUGUAACUAACAUGGUUUUCUCGGCUGCUAUGUAACCUUACACGCUACUUAGAUGCCAAGAAGCGUAGCUUUUACGGCAAGUAUUGAGAAACUACGUUAGAUGUACUCUUCCCAUGAAAUUUCUUGCAUGAUCCAGCA